AUUGAACGCUGGCGGCAGGCCUAACACAUGCAAGUCGAACGGUAGCACAGAGAGCUUGCUCUCGGGUGACGAGUGGCGGACGGGUGAGUAACGCCUGGGAAACUGCCCGAUGGAGGGGGAUAACUACUGGAAACGGUAGCUAAUACCGCAUAACGUCGCAAGACCAAAGUGGGGGACCUUCGGGCCUCACACCAUCGGAUGAACCCAGAUGGGAUUAGCUAGUAGGCGGGGUAAUGGCCCACCUAGGCGACGAUCCCUAGCUGGUCUGAGAGGAUGACCAGCCACACUGGAACUGAGACACGGUCCAGACUCCUACGGGAGGCAGCAGUGGGGAAUAUUGCACAAUGGGCGCAAGCCUGAUGCAGCCAUGCCGCGUGUAUGAAAAAGGCCUUCGGGUUGUAAAGUACUUUCAGCGGGGAGGAAGGCGACGCGGUUAAUAACCGCGUCGAUUGACGUUACCCGCAGAAGAAGCACCGGCUAACUCCGUGCCAGCCGCCGCCGUAA
RNAcentral lists this ribosomal RNA (504 nucleotides) under uncultured bacterium. Its description in RNAcentral is "partial 16S ribosomal RNA". It matches the Rfam family "Bacterial small subunit ribosomal RNA", at positions 29 to 523 of the family's 1533-position model. The record is from RNAcentral.